GAGGGGAGAGGGAUGGAUGGAUGGACAGAGAGGGGCAAUGCCAAUGAAGCUCAUUUAAAUUGAGUCAGACAAAGAGGCUGCGAUUGUGUGAAUUUGUAUAUCUAAUCAGGUCAAAUAUGCCGCAACUAGAGUUUUGCAUUUUGGUAAAGGGGCAGAUGAGUGCGUUGUUGUGUUUUGAGGUGGUAAUCCGUUGAACUUUCCGUAGUUCAAUAAUCAAAAUCAAACUGAGAGUUUCUUAUUAUAGCUGAUACCCCAUUCUUCCAUUGAAUCUUAAUUCCCACUACAUUUGUAGUUGUUUUUUGGAAAGACCCUUAAAAAACACACAAAAAAAUGACACUGUGAUUAAAUUAAAAAUGCUGUUUCUGUAGAAUGUGUUUUUGUGCGAUUCCUUGUCAUUUGCAUCCGAAAGUGAAAAUGUGAUUCUCAGCGUGAUUCUGUUACCACGCUCUUGCCCUGGGUGUCCCUGAGUAAGGACACGGCCAUUGAGUCGAAUAAGGAUGAGGAGGAAGAAGGUUGCUUCUAAAGAACGGAGCGAUGACGUGUGGACCCAUUAACUAGAUGAUACCAUGAUCCCUGUUGUUCGGGAAGUUGCCUAGGGACAAAGUCUUUGUGGUGGAUUAUGGGAAAGUAGUUUGCCAGGCAUUCCCAUCCCUGCAGCACCGGCCAUAUCAGACAGGAGCAGGAGCGAUAUCAGGAGAGGGGAAAGAAAAUGAGCGGAGAGGCUGAGUGAGUGUGACUCCACGUUCUCCUUCUUACCAGGAGAGAAAACAUGGUUUUAUUUUUUGGGAUCCCCAUCAACCACAGCAGCAGGUUGACGUGUGAUUGUGUGUGUGUGCGGGGCUGUGUACAUUCCCUGUUUUGCCAUACAAUUUUGUUUGUCACUGUUCUUUUAAGGAUGUUUGAGCUUUGCUAAUUGGAGAUGGAAGAUGUUCCAUUCCAUCUUAACUCUGUCUCAUUUUGUAUGCUACUGCACACUUGUUUUGGACCUGUUUGCUGGGAUGAGACACCAGGAGCUAGGUGUGAAUUUGAGUGUCUUAGCUGUGUGCUAUUUGACUACAAUGGCCAUUUGGAACCCUCAUACAUUUUUAAUUUGUUUAUAAAACCCAAAAAGGAAGCAGUCAAUCUCUUUUUCAGCCCUCAUCCAGGAAAAAAGUAAUGUUACGUUGUUGAUGUUCGUUAUAUCCCAACACACACACUCACUCAAACCCCAGUCCUUGACACUACCCAUACCCAUUCCACAAAAAAAACCUUUUGCCUCCAUACACACAUUUCUGAACCCUGGUCUGCAUUAUUAAUGUCCUUUUAGCAGCCAGACUUCUUCUACGAUCUGUAUCACCUGUCUACUGAACCACACACAUACAGAGUCAUAGGUACUGACACACACACACACAGAGUCAGAGGUACUGACACACACACACAGAGUCAGAGGUACUGACACACACAGACAGUCAGAGGUACUGACACACACAGACAGUCAGAGGUACUGACACACACACACAGACAGUCAGAGGUACUGACACACACACACAGACAGAGACAGAGGUACUGACACACACACACAGACACAGACAGAGGUACUGACACACACAGACACACACAGACAGAGGUACUGACACACACAGACACACCGGUGUGAGUCAGUUAAAUAUCAAGGUCUGUUUUCCGGGUUUCUUAGUCGUUGAUGUUGCUGGGAUGAGUCAUUGUUAUAGCUAGCCUAGCGAUGGCUAAUGGGAGAACAGUCCAGGUGAAAGGGGGGAAAGAUGUGGCCGGGGGGGGGUUUCUUUUUAUUCUAGAAACAUUUCUAAUAUUACAUCUUCGUUUUUUUGUGUAUCCCAUACGCGUGGCUCUUUGGGUGUCCAUGUAGACAGUUCAAUGAAUUUGGGACUAGGAUCGGUCUUGGUACUGUAUAAACCCCUACUGCUACCACACUGGUCUUGGUACUGUAUAAACCCCUACUGCUA
Long non-coding RNA from Esox lucius (northern pike), 1961 nucleotides. NCBI's taxonomy places the organism in Eukaryota, Metazoa, Chordata, Actinopteri, Esociformes, Esocidae. The record is from Ensembl.